Salvia miltiorrhiza (redroot sage) is the source of this 471-nucleotide long non-coding RNA. RefSeq lists it as uncharacterized. The record is from RefSeq and is a predicted model, not a curated record. Lineage: Eukaryota; Viridiplantae; Streptophyta; Magnoliopsida; Lamiales; Lamiaceae. The transcript is spliced from 2 exons.
UUACAGUCGAAAGAAUGAAGCUGCGUGAUUGACGAUUGGAGGUCGGCGCCGGAGUGCUCGUGCACGCUGGAAAAGCUUGAAGCUAUCCUAAAUGCCAGAAACGAAGCAGCAGCCAAUCUGACUUUUGCUUUCACUCAAUAGAACAAUGUAUUGGAUAAAGACGAAGGGAGCUAAAAAAUUACUAGAACAAACUGGUUGAAAUUGAUGGCGGUGAAGCAGUGGGAGACAAGCAAUCAUUCAACUUCUCGCACAAAUUCAAUUUUCAUAGUUUCACAACCAAAGCUCUGUUAAUUUUCUUCCGUCGAUCUCAACUCUUUUAUCCUUUUUUGAUUGAUAAUUAUGAAAAAGCUCUUGUCAACAAUUUCGACUUUAUUAAUAAAAUAUGUGGGGCUGUAACUUCAAUUAUGUGAUGGAGAACACCAAAUUGAUUUUGGGUAUAUCAAGUAUAAAGCAAAGAACAGUUAAUUAUUA